This is a long non-coding RNA of Gasterosteus aculeatus aculeatus (three-spined stickleback), 1685 nucleotides long. The record is from Ensembl. Lineage: Eukaryota; Metazoa; Chordata; Actinopteri; Perciformes; Gasterosteidae.
GACCGACGGCAUCCAGCUCUGUUGUGGAUGAGAGGGAUCGAGGCUGCCUCUCACAACAGCGCACCGUCGCAUUUACUCAUUAGUGACAAUCGACGACAUAACGUUACAAGAAGUAACUUUUGAAUCAGUUCGGAUAGGCCGAUCUUCUGUUAUUGGUGGCUGGGGGGGGGACGUUCCGGGCAGCAGCCUGCCAGCUGAUAUCAGGUUGUGAACGGACUCCCUGCAAGCGGGCACGUUGCACGCAGAACAGCGUUAUUCCGCCGCGGCUCGGACUACUGCACAACCCCGCUGGAUGACGCGGAUUAACUGAAGAAACGGAGGUGUCGCAUCUUAAGUGUUGUGCCUCUGCGGUGAUAAAUGUCAGCCAGUCCUGAUAUUUGCAUGGGUCUUUCUCCUCAACCGAAAGGUGAGUACUUCCUCUCCUCAAACGGACGUGCUGUGGUUCACUGUCACCACUAAACUCUUCUUACUAAGCUGUUGAAAACAGCACAUCUGGAGUCGUGAUGACGGAUUACACACGUGCAACAUGUGGUUUAGUGACUGGGGAACGCACAACUUUGGUGUCACAUUUUAUAGCGUGGCACAUUCAAAGAUAACGCAACACACUUUUAGAGCAAAAUACACAAUCUCUAUUGCACAUUUGUAUUUUAUACAAAGGAAGGUAAUGCUGUGUAAGGCCAAGAUGCUUUUAACAACUUUGCCGGGUUGCCGUUGCUUUCACUGUCUUCCAAAGAACUGAUGUUCUUUUCUCAAAGAGGAAAAGUCUGGUUGCCACCUGACAAACAAUUCACGCCUCGAUGACGGUUGCCUGGGAGCUGCAAACUGAAGUUGAACCCAUUCGCGGAAGCUCUGUUUCCAAAGAGAAAGAAGAGAAAAAAGUUCGGCAGAACAGGCGGUCUUUUCUUUGGUCGCUUUGACACGAGGACUCUCUUUAGCCGUUGAUUUACAAGAACGCUGAAUUGCUACAUUAUGCCGUUCCUUUUUGCCCCUGCGGUUAAUCUUUGUGUCUGGCAGAUGAAGCUGGGCAUUCGCAUGGUUUGACUGAGAAAAGUGGAUUCCCAACUACAGGUCGUGUUUUGUUCCUGCCUCGGUUUUGGAGCUUUUUUUAGUGGGUCUGAGCCACCGGCGCUGGCGGAUCCGGAGAGGGAGCAGUACAUCACCAGAGCCGCGUCCACGCCCCUCCCAACCGGGAGUUAUGGCCUGGCCUCGGAUGAGAUAUCUGCUUUAAAAUGUGACACGAGAGGAAGAUUUAAAUACCUGCAAAAAAAAAAAAAAAUGUCCUGCACCACGGUGAAGACAGCAUGCCCUUGUUGAAAGCGGUGCUACGGGAGAUUAACUCGGCUCCAGCACCUCCCCUCGGGCCAGGCUUCAGCCCCGGAUGGUGCCUUCUCCCAUAUUCCUCAUGGGAACAACGUGGCCUCACUGCCUGCUGGCAUUUUUAAGUGUUCAGCACAAUGGUUGUUAGUUUGCUUAUGAUUGACGAUUAGUUUUUCUACCUAUCCAAAGCCGUAAAAAAAAAAAAAAAAAAACGCCUCCUUUUUAUGAUUUACUAAGUUGGGAAUAAGUGGCCAUCUGUGGCUUGCUAUGAAAAAGGGGCCAAAUCACUGACACAUGUGCAAUUACUGAAGCAUCCUACUGCACAACCGGGAGUCAUUCUGCGGAUACUUUUUGAAUUAUAGCCAGUG